Molecule: long non-coding RNA, 303 nt
Filed under: Androctonus crassicauda
Lineage: Eukaryota; Metazoa; Arthropoda; Arachnida; Scorpiones; Buthidae
Source: RNAcentral
CUAGGCUCGAAAAGUUUGGGAACCACUGCUGUAGAUGCUCAGUUUACACUUAUCUUCUAGCUUGUUUUUACUACUACUUAAGAACUCGAAUACUGACGGAUUUGUUUUUAUAGCUACUUUGCUGUUAGCCAGGUUAAUCGCUUUUUUUGACAGCUGGACACUUUGCCAUAUGAUAGGGUACUGCAAGAUAGUUGUUAUUUAUUGGGUGGUGCUGUUCUUCUGGUUCGUUCCCAUUGUGGCAUGUCUUUUCUUUAUUGUGCUUAUUCUCAACAUUUUUUAAGAUAGAGUAUAAGAAACCUUUGC